GGCGAACGGGUGAGUAACACGUGGGUGAUCUGCCCUGCACUUCGGGAUAAGCCUGGGAAACUGGGUCUAAUACCGGAUAUGACUUCAGGUUGCAUGACUUGGGGUGGAAAGAUUUAUCGGUGCAGGAUGGGCCCGCGGCCUAUCAGCUUGUUGGUGGGGUAAUGGCCUACCAAGGCGACGACGGGUAGCCGACCUGAGAGGGUGACCGGCCACACUGGGACUGAGACACGGCCCAGACUCCUACGGGAGGCAGCAGUGGGGAAUAUUGCACAAUGGGCGAAAGCCUGAUGCAGCGACGCCGCGUGAGGGAUGACGGCCUUCGGGUUGUAAACCUCUUUCAGCAGGGACGAAGCGCAAGUGACGGUACCUGCAGAAGAAGCACCGGCUAACUACGUGCCAGCAGCCGCGGUAAUACGUAGGGUGCAAGCGUUGUCCGGAAUUACUGGGCGUAAAGAGUUCGUAGGCGGUUUGUCGCGUCGUUUGUGAAAACCAGCAGCUCAACUGCUGGCUUGCAGGCGAUACGGGCAGACUUGAGUACUGCAGGGGAGACUGGAAUUCCUGGUG
This 564-nucleotide ribosomal RNA is filed under the name Rhodococcus sp. LC11. RNAcentral describes it as "bacterial SSU rRNA". It matches the Rfam family "Bacterial small subunit ribosomal RNA", at positions 97 to 675 of the family's 1533-position model. Lineage: Bacteria; Bacillati; Actinomycetota; Actinomycetes; Mycobacteriales; Nocardiaceae. The record is from RNAcentral.